AGGAGUCACUACAAGAUGGAGUCUCUGUCCCAGCUUCUCUGUGGGCUCCUGAUGCUUUGGGUCCCAGUUUCCAGGGGAGCAAUUGUGCUGACCCAGUCUCCAGCCUCGGUGUCUGUGAGCCCAGGAGAGAGAGUCACCAUCAGCUGCAAGGCCAGUCAGAGUGUUGUACACAGUGAUAGAAACACUUACCUAAGCUGGCUCCAACAGAAACCCGGCCAGUCUCCUCGGCGACUCAUUUACCAGGUUUCCAACCUGGGCUCCGGAGUCCCGGCCCGCUUCAGUGGCAGUGGUGCUGGGAAGGAUUUCACCCUCACAAUCAGCAGUGUGGAGGCUGAAGAUGGGGCAGAAUAUUACUGUGCUCAAGGAAGUUAUUCUCCGUAUACUUUCGGCGGUGGGACCAAGCUGGAAAUCAAACGAAGCGUGGCUCAACCAUCUGCCUUCAUCUUCCAGCCAUCUGAAGAGCAGUUGAAAACAGGCUCAGCCUCAGUGGUUUGCCUCGCGAACAAUUUCUACCCCAAAAAAGCCACAGUCACGUGGAAGGUCGAUAAUGUGGUGACAAACUCAAACAUCAAUACCGUCUUCACGGAACAGGACAGCAAGGACCAAACGUACAGCCUGAGCAGUACCCUGAACCUCCCUGGGUCUGAAUACAGUAGCCAUGAUCGGUAUUCCUGUGAGAUCACUCAUGAAAGCAUGUCCAGUGCCCUAGUGAAGUCUUUCCAGAGGAGCCAGUGUUCGUGAGGGGGGCGACGGGGGCCCCCAAGAGGGAACCUCCUCCACUCUAUUCCCACUCCUCAUCUCCAGCCUUUCUUCUUGCUCUCCCGUCUUCCCUGCCUGAUGAUAAAAGAUCAUUCUCCAGUCCAAAGGCCUCCGGCCUUAUCCAUUCCCACCUUCAUCUUUGCCUGCUUUAAUCAUGUCAAUAUUUGAAAGAAAAAAACCAAAUAAAAUAAAUGAAAGAAACCCUC
Antechinus flavipes (yellow-footed antechinus) is the source of this 965-nucleotide non-coding RNA. Lineage: Eukaryota; Metazoa; Chordata; Mammalia; Dasyuromorphia; Dasyuridae. The record is from the annotation of a RefSeq genome assembly.